ACCUGGCUGGCUCAGCUUGUAGAGCAUAUGACUCUUGAUCUCAGGAUUGUGAGUUCAAGUCCCAUGUUGGGUA
RNAcentral lists this transfer RNA (73 nucleotides) under Felis catus (domestic cat). It matches the Rfam family "tRNA". Rfam says of the family: Transfer RNA (tRNA) molecules are approximately 80 nucleotides in length. Their secondary structure includes four short double-helical elements and three loops (D, anti-codon, and T loops). Lineage: Eukaryota; Metazoa; Chordata; Mammalia; Carnivora; Felidae. The record is from Rfam by way of RNAcentral. RNAcentral also lists the same sequence under 4 other names.